GGGCGUUAAGUUGCAGGGUAUAGACCCGAAACCCGGUGAUCUAGCCAUGGGCAGGUUGAAGGUUGGGUAACACUAACUGGAGGACCGAACCGACUAAUGUUGAAAAAUUAGCGGAUGACCUGUGGCUGGGGGUGAAAGGCCAAUCAAACCGGGAGAUAGCUGGUUCUCCCCGAAAGCUAUUUAGGUAGCGCCUCGUGAAUUCAUCUCCGGGGGUAGAGCACUGUUUCGGCUAGGGGGCCAUCCCGGCUUACCAACCCGAUGCAAACUGCGAAUACCGGAGAAUGUUAUCACGGGAGACACACGGCGGGUGCUAACGUCCGUCGUGAAGAGGGAAACAACCCAGACCGCCAGCUAAGGUCCCAAAGUCAUGGUUAAGUGGGAAACGAUGUGGGAAGGCCCAGACAGCCAGGAUGUUGGCUUAGAAGCAGCCAUCAUUUAAAGAAAGCGUAAUAGCUCACUGGUCGAGUCGGCCUGCGCGGAAGAUGUAACGGGGCUAAACCAUGCACCGAAGCUGCGGCAGCGACGCUGAUGCGUUGUUGGGUAGGGGAGCGUUCUGUAAGCCUGUGAAGGUGUGUCGUGAGGCAUGCUGGAGGUAUCAGAAGUGCGAAUGCUGACAUAAGUAACGAUAAAGCGGGUGAAAAGCCCGCUCGCCGGAAGACCAAGGGUUCCUGUCCAACGUUAAUCGGGGCAGGGUGAGUCGACCCCUAAGGCGAGGCCGAAAGGCGUAGUCGAUGGGAAACGGGUUAAUAUUCCCGUACUUGGUGUUACUGCGAAGGGGGGACGGAGAAGGCUAUGUUGGCCGGGCGACGGUUGUCCCGGUUUAAGCGUGUAGGUGUGUGUUCCAGGUAAAUCCGGUUCACUUUAACACUGAGGCGUGACGACGAGGCACUACGGUGCUGAAGCAACAAAUGCCCUGCUUCCAGGAAAAGCCUCUAAGCAUCAGGUAACAUCAAAUCGUACCCCAAACCGACACAGGUGGUCAGGUAGAGAAUACCAAGGCGCUUGAGAGAACUCGGGUGAAGGAACUAGGCAAAAUGGUGCCGUAACUUCGGGAGAAGGCACGCUGACACGUAGGUGAAGUGAUUUACUCAUGGAGCUGAAGUCAGUCGAAGAUACCAGCUGGCUGCAACUGUUUAUUAAAAACACAGCACUGUGCAAACACGAAAGUGGACGUAUACGGUGUGACGCCUGCCCGGUGCCGGAAGGUUAAUUGAUGGGGUCAGCGUAAGCGAAGCUCCUGAUCGAAGCCCCGGUAAACGGCGGCCGUAACUAUAACGGUCCUAAGGUAGCGAAAUUCCUUGUCGGGUAAGUUCCGACCUGCACGAAUGGCGUAAUGAUGGCCAGGCUGUCUCC
This 1353-nucleotide ribosomal RNA is filed under the name Salmonella enterica subsp. enterica serovar 1,4,[5],12:i:-. RNAcentral describes it as "partial 23S ribosomal RNA". It matches the Rfam family "Bacterial large subunit ribosomal RNA", at positions 690 to 2023 of the family's 2925-position model. The record is from RNAcentral. Lineage: Bacteria; Pseudomonadati; Pseudomonadota; Gammaproteobacteria; Enterobacterales; Enterobacteriaceae.